GCAGUCGAACGAUGAACCACUUCGGUGGGGAUUAGUGGCGAACGGGUGAGUAACACGUGGGCAAUCUGCCCUGCACUCUGGGACAAGCCCUGGAAACGGGGUCUAAUACCGGAUACUGAUCCGCCUGGGCAUCCAGGCGGUUCGAAAGCUCCGGCGGUGCAGGAUGAGCCCGCGGCCUAUCAGCUUGUUGGUGAGGUAACGGCUCACCAAGGCGACGACGGGUAGCCGGCCUGAGAGGGCGACCGGCCACACUGGGACUGAGACACGGCCCAGACUCCUACGGGAGGCAGCAGUGGGGAAUAUUGCACAAUGGGCGCAAGCCUGAUGCAGCGACGCCGCGUGAGGGAUGACGGCCUUCGGGUUGUAAACCUCUUUCAGCAGGGAAGAAGCGCAAGUGACGGUACCUGCAGAAGAAGCGCCGGCUAACUACGUGCCAGCAGCCGCGGUAAUACGUAGGGCGCGAGCGUUGUCCGGAAUUAUUGGGCGUAAAGAGCUCGUAGGCGGCUUGUCGCGUCGGUUGUGAAAGCCCGGGGCUUAACCCCGGGUCUGCAGUCGAUACGGGCAGGCUAGAGUUCGGUAGGGGAGAUCGGAAUUCCUGGUGUAGCGGUGAAAUGCGCAGAUAUCAGGAGGAACACCGGUGGCGAAGGCGGAUCUCUGGGCCGAUACUGACGCUGAGGAGCGAAAGCGUGGGGAGCGAACAGGAUUAGAUACCCUGGUAGUCCACGCCGUAAACGGUGGGCACUAGGUGUGGGCGACAUUCCACGUCGUCCGUGCCGCAGCUAACGCAUUAAGUGCCCCGCCUGGGGAGUACGGCCGCAAGGCUAAAACUCAAAGGAAUUGAC
Molecule: ribosomal RNA, 842 nt
Filed under: Streptomyces sp.
Lineage: Bacteria; Bacillati; Actinomycetota; Actinomycetes; Kitasatosporales; Streptomycetaceae
Description: bacterial SSU rRNA
Rfam family: Bacterial small subunit ribosomal RNA
Source: RNAcentral